AAAAAAAGUCACUACAUGCAUAUUAUUAAAAAAAAAUACUCACUGCAUGCAUAUUAAAAAAAAGUCAACAACAUGUAUAUUAAAAAAAUAGUCAUACACACCAACAAUCACUGCAUGCAUAUUAUUAAAAAAUACUCACUGCAUGCAUAUUAAGAAAUAGUCAACAACAUGUAUAUUAAAAAAAACAGUCAUACACACUAACAAUCACUGCAUGCAUAUUAAAAAAAAUAGUCAUAGACACAUACA
RNAcentral lists this long non-coding RNA (246 nucleotides) under Gossypium raimondii (Peruvian cotton). RNAcentral describes it as "long non-coding RNA (GRAI_LNC003840)". Lineage: Eukaryota; Viridiplantae; Streptophyta; Magnoliopsida; Malvales; Malvaceae. The record is from RNAcentral.